AUUUUAAUUCUCUUCCAGAAAAGCCUUUUGUUGCUUUUGUAAGUGGCAUGGAAUCUUUGGUGGAAGCCACCGUGGGAGACCGUGUCCGAGUCCCUGUGAAGUACCUUGGUUACCCUCCCCCAGAAAUAAAAUGGUAUAAAAAUGGAAGACCCAUUGAGUCUAACCACACAAUUAAAGUAGGGCAUGUACUGACUAUUGUGGAAGUGAGUGA
Molecule: non-coding RNA, 211 nt
Organism: Vicugna pacos (alpaca)
Lineage: Eukaryota; Metazoa; Chordata; Mammalia; Artiodactyla; Camelidae
Source: RefSeq, a predicted model, not a curated record